AUAACAAAAAUAUUGCAAUGUGAAAAAUUACAAAAUUCUAGUUGCCGCUUAAUUUUGGCGGCCAGUGUACCUAUCACUUAAUUGGGUGUUUUAGUUUUUGCUUUUGUGAACUAUUUUAAUUUUUUAGAGUUGUAAUGCUUUACCGCAUCUUGAUCUACAAAGUAAAAGAGUUGUAAUGGCUCGUAUAGGGGAAGCCAUAAAAAGGGGUGCCAGCAGGGUGGUAGUCGUUUAGGAGGUUGUAUCGUUAGCAUUUAAAUACAUAUCUACUUUGAAAUUUUUACCCCGCAAAAGUAACUCGUGACGUGAUUUGACGCGCAAAAGUGAAACUUCAAAAUAAAUCAUCUGUCAACAAACUGCAACUUUACAAUGCCUUUGACUUGUGCAGUAGCUGAUUGUGGCAAUACGUAUGAAAAGGGAAAAGCAAUUAGGAUAUUCCCAAAAAUAAAGCUUUAUGUGAACAAUGGAUAAAAUUUUGUGGCCGUGAACGCCCCUUUAAUGGAAGAACGUGGAGAAUCUGUUCAGUGCAUUUUGACGAACAAGAUUACGAAAGAGACUGAGUUAUUAAACUAUACAUCAAAAGGCGACGUAAACUCAGACAGGGAGCUGUUCCAUUCAUAAAAGGAAGGAAACCCAAACAACUACGGACAGUACUAAUUCUUUAUUUGCCUGUCCGAGGGGAGAGCAAGAAGAGCCCAUGACGGUAGACACUGUAUUUUCUUACCAUCAAGACAAUAAUAAUAUGAUAACGAAUCUCUAAAACACCGUUGAACAAUUAAAAAAAGAACUUUCUGAAAAAGAGCAACAAAUACGACUGCUAAGAAAAAAAGGUAACAUACUAAAAACCUUAAACAGACAAAAAUUAUCAGUUUGGUGUAAAUGUAAUAAUAUUUUAUCAAAUUUGUUGACGCCUGCUCAGAUUCGUAAAUUAAAAGAUCUAAAAAAAUUAUAUGGGCGUCAGAAGAUAUCAACAAAGCCUUUACAUUAAGAUAUCUAAGAAGACCUAGGUGUAUUGGAGAGAUUCCUUGAAUUAUCCUUUACCAGGAAUUUCAACAUUGCAAAAAUGGGAAUCAAAGAUGAUGUGCAGCAGGGUGUAUAGAAAACGGUCUUGCAGUUUUUGAAAAUUGCGGAAACCAAUAUGUCAGAACCUGAGCGGCUGAUGGUUCUUCAGAAAGACGAAAUGAAAGUGGCUGAAACAUGUAAAACACAAUCGCAUAAUACGACCUCAUUCACAACUUCAGGUUGUAAAUGACAGAAGUUUGAUUGGAAAAUGGAAGACUCCUGUUUUUGUCGAUUUCUAUCAAAGAAUUACAUCAGUAAUUUUACAUAAUGUUAUAAAUGAACUAAAUUACGAGUAUGUAGGUUUUAAAAUUAUUGCAUGUGUAAGCGAUUGUGGACCGAGAAAUAUCUCACUGUGGCGUGAUCUAAAUGUUGUAUACGAACAUCCAUUUAUUAUCCAUGAACUAGCUGGUUCCAAGAUUUAUUUUUUUUUGCUGAUGCUCCGCAUCUUUUGAAACUAAUUAGAAAUUGGUUGCUAGACUCAGAAUUUCUGUACAAUGGUUGUAAUAUUAAUACAGAUAUAUUGGUGGAAUUAGUUUCAUGAAAUUAGCAGCUGUUUUAAAUUAACAGCGAACCAUUUAAUUGUCGAAGGCCCAAGUAGGCAGAACGUUCAUAUUUAGCAGCUGAAUUAUUAAGUUACACAGCAGCAGUUGCCUUAAAACAUAUUUACCCAAACAACCCCACCGCAAUUGCAACUCCCAGUUUCAUUGAACUUGUAAAUAAUUGGUAUGACAUUAUGACCUCAUACAAACCGAACAACGAAGUAAUUAUUAAAUCUGCCUAUGGUAAAGAUAUUCAUAAUCAAAACAGUGUUCUACAUGAGAUGUAAAAACUUAUGAGUACGACCAUUUUUAAAAGAAAAAGAACAAUUCAAACGUUUCAAAAAGGAAUUCUUUUAUCUAUUAAUUCAUUGAAACAUUCAUAUAAAGAUCCUAAUGAGAACUAUGAAAUAACUUAUGUUUUGACUCACAGGUUGAAUCAAGACUCGUUGGAUAAUAAUUUAUUUGGUCAACUCAGAACGCGAGGAGACUUAAAUGAUCAUCCUACUCUACUACAUGCUCCACAAAGAUUACGACUGAUUAUUUUAGGAAAAUCUACAAAUCUUCAGAAUAAUUCAAAUUCGAAUCACUGUUCAGAUGUUUAUACAAGGUGUUUAUAAAUGUCUGGGCAUCAAGUUGGCUUUUCAAAUUAUGUCAACAUGUUUUUGACAACCAUUUGCCGCUUCACUGAUAUUUUGAAUUCAGCACUUUCAAUCCGUCAAAUUUAUCGGUUGAAUAAAAGAUCAAACGAGCAAAAAUGAGUGUUUGUUAAGUGAAAUUUAACGUUUGUCUGAGAAAAGUGUCUGAAAGUCCCAUGAAGCUUUCUUGGAGGGCUCCAUUGCUUCACAUCGUCGUCACAUGAUGAAUUCUAAAAUGUAGUCUCUUUGUCCCAAAUUCGGCCUUCAGGGAUCGUCCCGGCACUUCAGAGUCUUCUUAGAUCGGUUAAAUUAAAAAAGUAAAGUUAUGUUAAUACUCGUCUGUCAAAAAGAUCCGUCGUUUGCACAAUUUUGCUGUGCUUUUGAGCAAUUUUCAUAGAAAACCAAGUAUGGUGAAUUGGAAUUAGACACUGAAGAAGCUGCACUCUUCAUUUGACAAAGAAUUGCGUGCUUUUAGAUAUCGUGGCUUCUACAGGAAGAGCGAUGGUUUAUCCCCAGACUCAGGUCGGAUUCAUGUGAAAAAUACAGAAAAAAUUAAUUUUGGAAACGAUAUUGGAUUCAUAUCGUUUUUAAAAAGAAUUUAUGAGAUCUUCUAUUGGAUUAUUUGAUGAUUUUUCGCUUAUAAAUUUGUGAACAUGCUUUCUUUCUACUGGUGUUCAAGUGCUCAUGAUUUUUUUGUAUGACAGAGGUGUUUCAAAUCUUGGUGGGUGUCCACUAUGGCAGAUUAUAGACUGAAUUCACAAGACUAGACUAAAAUUGUUUCAAGUAAGCAGUGGAAAUGCCAACUAUUAAAUGAUGUCUAACGUUUGGCUGAAUUGAAACCUCACUUAUGAAAAGGAUCCUAAAUAAAGAAGAUAAUAACCCCAAAAACUAAUUUUUUAUUAUUGUGCAAGUGUUUCCAAUUUAUUAAUACGCAAUGUAAACUCCGUACAAUUUAAUUGAGUCCACCUCGUGGUAAUUUCGGUGAGAAUGGGGUCUAAGUCAAUUGCACAGGAAGUGCACCCAAUUAAACCGCACGGUCUUUACGACAGUUGAGUUAUUGGUUGCCCACUAAAACUACGUAAAAGAAAGUAGAAAAUUAACUCCAUAUUUUGUUGUUAAAUCUAUGUUAAAUAAAUUGAAACAACACGUUAAGAAAACUA
Tribolium madens (black flour beetle) is the source of this 3393-nucleotide long non-coding RNA. RefSeq lists it as uncharacterized. The record is from RefSeq and is a predicted model, not a curated record. NCBI's taxonomy places the organism in Eukaryota, Metazoa, Arthropoda, Insecta, Coleoptera, Tenebrionidae. The transcript is spliced from 5 exons.